AUUGAACGCUGGCGGCAGGCUUAACACAUGCAAGUCGAGCGGGGUGAUGGUGCUUGCACUAUCACUUAGCGGCGGACGGGUGAGUAAUGCUUAGGAAUCUGCCUAUUAGUGGGGGACAACAUCUCGAAAGGGAUGCUAAUACCGCAUACGUCCUACGGGAGAAAGCAGGGGAUCACUUGUGACCUUGUGCUAAUAGAUGAGCCUAAGUCGGAUUAGCUAGUUGGUGGGGUAAAGGCCUACCAAGGCGACGAUCUGUAGCGGGUCUGAGAGGAUGAUCCGCCACACUGGGACUGAGACACGGCCCAGACUCCUACGGGAGGCAGCAGUGGGGAAUAUUGGACAAUGGGGGGAACCCUGAUCCAGCCAUGCCGCGUGUGUGAAGAAGGCCUUAUGGUUGUAAAGCACUUUAAGCGAGGAGGAGGCUCUUUUGGUUAAUACCCAAGAUGAGUUGACGUUACUCGCAGAAUAAGCACCGGCUAACUCUGUGCCAGCCGCCGCGGUAA
RNAcentral lists this ribosomal RNA (503 nucleotides) under uncultured bacterium. RNAcentral's name for it is "partial 16S ribosomal RNA". It matches the Rfam family "Bacterial small subunit ribosomal RNA", at positions 30 to 523 of the family's 1533-position model. The record is from RNAcentral.